CUCAACGCAUCGAUUUAGCUCUCUCUCCUCAGUUUCUCAUUUCUCAAAAUAUUCUCACUCUGAAUAUCUUUCAAUCUCCCAAAUUUUCUUCCUAAAUCGUAUAAUUUUCCGUUGAUUUUUUUUUCUUUUCUAAUAAUCGAGUUCUUGUUUUCUUUCUUUUUAUUUCUCGUAAUCAAAUGGCUGAAAUGGGCAUGGAGAGUUCCGAUCUAGUCGUUCUUGACAAAGAUCCAACGGUGGAGAAUUGCGGAUCAAAGCCUUCUCCGAACUCUCACACUGAACUUUUAGAAGAGCAUACCGACUCCAUAGAUGAAGAUACUAUAUCCAGCAUGAACAAAGAAGUAUCUCCAGCUCAGGGGCCAACUCUUCCGAUAUUACAGAAAGUUAUUAAGUUGAGUAACAGUGUUC
Long non-coding RNA from Hibiscus syriacus, 405 nucleotides. RefSeq lists it as uncharacterized. Lineage: Eukaryota; Viridiplantae; Streptophyta; Magnoliopsida; Malvales; Malvaceae. The record is from RefSeq and is a predicted model, not a curated record. The transcript has 3 exons.